CUCAAGGACUAUUUACACAGGCUGGUUUCAAUAAUCCUUCUCAAGACGAGUCUCUUCAAAGCCAUUUUGGCGGACCUGGUCCACUACAGUCGCAGGGCCUCUUGAAUCCAAUUUAUUCCCAACCUUUCACCCAAUACAAUGCCCAGCCUUUAAACAUGCAGCAACCUUCACAACAACAGAAUCAGAGCUCAGCUACCCAAAAACUUCACUAUAAUGGCUGAUCCAAUCUAUAAUCUCAUGGUUCCCGUGGGGUUAAAAUUCUCCCUAUGAGCAAAAUAUGAUUUUUGCAAAAUUUUUGCCAUUCUUGGCUCAUGAAAGGUACAGAAGUUUGGGGCCGGCUUGCUUCUCCAUUAUACACAUAUCGGACCCCCCAAUAGAACCUGAUUGGGGUUUUCAGUAGAGAAAAAUUUUGGUUUUCGCAACGGCAACCAACCUCCUGCACGGCCAGAGUCAAAGAAAGGUAUCUAUCCAUUUAUCUUUCCUAAUUACAAUUUUAACUAUUUGGGGACAAAUACGCAAUUCCAGGUGUAAAAAAAAAAAAAAAAAAACUAAUAUUUGAUGCAUGUAAGUAAAGGGUUCUCCAGUUUCCAUAGCUUACCUACAGAAGUAUAUGAGCGCUGUAAUUUGAUUUUGGGGGUUUGGUAAGGCAGAGUUGUUCUUGUCUUUUA
Phalaenopsis equestris is the source of this 668-nucleotide long non-coding RNA. RefSeq lists it as uncharacterized. The record is from RefSeq and is a predicted model, not a curated record. NCBI's taxonomy places the organism in Eukaryota, Viridiplantae, Streptophyta, Magnoliopsida, Asparagales, Orchidaceae. The transcript is spliced from 2 exons.